GACGAACGCUGGCGGCGUGCCUAAUACAUGCAAGUCGAACGCACAGUUUAUACCGUAGCUUGCUACACCAUAGACUGUGAGUUGCGAACGGGUGAGUAACGCGUAGGUAACCUGCCUGGUAGCGGGGGAUAACUAUUGGAAACGAUAGCUAAUACCGCAUAAUAUUAAUUAUUGCAUGAUAAUUAAUUGAAAGGUGCAAUUGCACCACUACCAGAUGGACCUGCGUUGUAUUAGCUAGUAGGUGAGGUAACGGCUCACCUAGGCGACGAUACAUAGCCGACCUGAGAGGGUGAUCGGCCACACUGGGACUGAGACACGGCCCAGACUCCUACGGGAGGCAGCAGCAGGGAAUCUUCGGCAAUGGACGAAAGUCUGACCGAGCAACGCCGCGUGAGUGAAGAAGGUUUUCGGAUCGUAAAGCUCUGUUGUAAGAGAAGAACGGGUGUGAGAGUGGAAAGUUCACACUGCGACGGUAUCUUACCAGAAAGGGACGGCUAACUACGUG
Molecule: ribosomal RNA, 505 nt
Filed under: uncultured bacterium
Lineage: Bacteria
Description: partial 16S ribosomal RNA
Rfam family: Bacterial small subunit ribosomal RNA
Source: RNAcentral